This 268-nucleotide long non-coding RNA is filed under the name Glycine max (soybean). RNAcentral describes it as "long non-coding RNA (GMAX_LNC002874)". The record is from RNAcentral. Lineage: Eukaryota; Viridiplantae; Streptophyta; Magnoliopsida; Fabales; Fabaceae.
CUAUCCUUUCAACAGUUACUACUAAUAUUUACUCAUUUCACUUUUGAUUGCAACUUAGAAAAAAAAAGUGGCGAGGGACACCAACAAAUCAUUGUAUAGCUAAUAGCUAUAGCCAGGGUAUUUUUCAUCUUUGUUGUAUGUGAUUAUGAAUAAAUUUAAGAUGAUACUGGGUUAGUUCUUAGACACUUUAGUUCAUAAUGAACAUCAAAAGAAGGUACGGAUCGCGCGUCUUUCUUUCCUCUCCAAUUAUAAUUUGUAUUCUCUUAUC